CUGCGAAAUUUGCCGGUCUUCUAACAACCUCAACUGAAAGUAAUGUGCUAAACUAAAUUAACUAAUUUUAUUUUUAGAAAAAAUCUCCUGGCUUCCCUGUGUUUUUGCUUUGUAAACAAAAUUUUUGACCACUUUUCCAAGGAAUUCUCUUUCUUGCCGACACUUUCUUCUUCAAAAUUCUGCGAACAUCUUUUUGAUUUCUUUUUCUUUUUCCUUUCUUUUUCAAUUUUUAUUCACAAAUAAACCCAUUUUUGCUUAAGUGAUAUUAAUCGUCAGCGAACCACUCCUGCCUUUAAUUUAUUGAUUAAAAUGAUCACGACAAGAAGUGGAAUAGUUCUUAUGGAGAAUAAAUUUGCAGAAUUUAUGCAAAUUCAAGGAAGAGUAGAAUCUACAGAUGCUUUGAUAUUUUGGAAGUGAAGAAUCAAGUACAAGACGGAAUUAAGGUGAAAAAAAAAAAAAAGAUGCCAGCUGAGGAGGAAGCUCAA
This 485-nucleotide unclassified non-coding RNA is filed under the name Hevea brasiliensis (rubber tree). The record is from RNAcentral. Lineage: Eukaryota; Viridiplantae; Streptophyta; Magnoliopsida; Malpighiales; Euphorbiaceae.